AUACGGAGGAUCCGAGCGUUAUCCGGAUUUAUUGGGUUUAAAGGGUGCGUAGGCGGACUGGUAAGUCAGUGGUGAAAUCCUGCAGCUUAACUGUAGAAUUGCCGUUGAUGCUGUUAGUCUUGAGUACAUUUGAGGUAGGCGGAAUGUGGUGUGUAGCGGUGAAAUGCAUAGAUAUACCACAGAACACCGAUUGCGAAGGCAGCUUACUAAACUGUAACUGACGCUGAGGCACGAAAGCGUGGGUAUCAAACAGGAUUAGAUACCCUGGUAGUCCACGCUGUAAACGAUGAUUACUGGUUGUUUGCGAUACACUGCAAGUGACUGAGCGAAAGCAUUAAGUAAUCCACCUGGGGAGUACGUCGGCAACGAUGAA
This 373-nucleotide ribosomal RNA is filed under the name uncultured bacterium. Its description in RNAcentral is "bacterial SSU rRNA". It matches the Rfam family "Bacterial small subunit ribosomal RNA", at positions 523 to 898 of the family's 1533-position model. The record is from RNAcentral.